UACGGAGGAUGCAAGCGUUAUCCGGAUUUAUUGGGUUUAAAGGGUGCGCAGGCGGAACGGUAAGUCAGUGGUGAAAGCCUACAGCUCAACUGUAGAAUUGCCAUUGAUACUGUCGUUCUUGAGUAUAGUUGGAGUGGGCGGAAUGUAUCAUGUAGCGGUGAAAUGCAUAGAUAUGAUACAGAACACCAAUCGCGAAGGCAGCUCACUAAGCUAUAACUGACGCUCAUGCACGAAAGCGUGGGGAUCAAACAGG
Molecule: ribosomal RNA, 253 nt
Filed under: uncultured bacterium
Lineage: Bacteria
Description: partial 16S ribosomal RNA
Rfam family: Bacterial small subunit ribosomal RNA
Source: RNAcentral